RNAcentral lists this transfer RNA (65 nucleotides) under Chrysomelidae sp. SOIL MMG Contig15. Its description in RNAcentral is "tRNA-Arg". Lineage: Eukaryota; Metazoa; Arthropoda; Insecta; Coleoptera; Chrysomelidae. The record is from RNAcentral.
AAAUAAGAAGUAAAACAUUACCUCUAGUUUCGACCUAGAAAUUUGACUAAAUUAGUCCUUAUUUA